AAAAGAGCUUGGGAAUCAUUUAUCACACAGCAAAUAUGUGAUGGAAGUUCCGUCUCAAAUGCAUCAAGGGGGGAAAAAUCAAAUAAUGCAUUCAAAGAGUUAAAGCAACAAGAACGCUUCACUAGAAUAGACCAAUGUACAAAUACACAAAAUGCCCUAAACUAAAUCCUCACAGCUCCCCCACGUCAGGAACCAAACAUGCUGAUUAAGCAAAACACAUUACAUUACACGAGCCCCUUCGCUAAAAGCUUCAACUGCUCUCGACUCAGAUGGGGCACCAUAAAAUACAACGCUGAGGGACGGGCUAAUUUGCAUAGAUACCCAUAGGGCAGGCAUGCCAACCUACCACUCUCCUCUAUUUCAGACAUUGAGACACCUCCAAUGGAGAACCAGCUCUUCAACUUACAAAAUACACUUACAGAAAAAGCAAUACCAUUAUCAAUUUUUAACU
Molecule: unclassified non-coding RNA, 451 nt
Filed under: Hevea brasiliensis (rubber tree)
Lineage: Eukaryota; Viridiplantae; Streptophyta; Magnoliopsida; Malpighiales; Euphorbiaceae
Source: RNAcentral